RNAcentral lists this ribosomal RNA (433 nucleotides) under uncultured bacterium. Its description in RNAcentral is "partial 16S ribosomal RNA". It matches the Rfam family "Bacterial small subunit ribosomal RNA", at positions 29 to 507 of the family's 1533-position model. The record is from RNAcentral.
AACGAACGCUGGCGGCAUGCCUAACACAUGCAAGUCGAACGAGACCUUCGGGUCUAGUGGCGCACGGGUGCGUAACGCGUGGGAACCUGCCCUUAGGUUCGGAAUACCUCCCCGAAAGGGGUGCUAAUACCGGAUAAUGUCUUCGGACCAAAGAUUUAUCGCCUUUGGAUGGGCCCGCGUUGGAUUCGCUAGUUGGUAGGGUAAAAGCCUACCAAGGCGACGAUCCAUAGCUGGUCUGAGAGGCUGAUCAGCCACACUGGGACUGAGACACGGCCCCGACUCCUACGGGAGGGAGCAGUGGGUGAUAUUGGACCACGGGCUAAAGCCUGAUCCAGCCAUGCCGCGUGAGUGAUGAAGGCCUUAGGGUUGUAAAGCUCUUUUACCCGGGAUGAUAAUGACAGUACCGGGAGAAUAAGCUCCGGCUAACUCCGUG